RNAcentral lists this ribosomal RNA (654 nucleotides) under uncultured bacterium. RNAcentral describes it as "bacterial SSU rRNA". It matches the Rfam family "Bacterial small subunit ribosomal RNA", at positions 202 to 842 of the family's 1533-position model. The record is from RNAcentral.
GAAAGAUGGCUUUGGCUAUCACUCUGGGAUGGACCUGCGGUGCAUUAGCUAGUUGGUAAGGUAACGGCUUACCAAGGCGAUGAUGCAUAGCCGAGUUGAGAGACUGAUCGGCCACAAUGGAACUGAGACACGGUCCAUACUCCUACGGGAGGCAGCAGUAGGGAAUCUUCCACAAUGGGCGCAAGCCUGAUGGAGCAACACCGCGUGAGUGAAGAAGGGUUUCGGCUCGUAAAACUCUGUUGUUGGAGAAGAACGUGCGUGAGAGUAACUGUUCACGCAGUGACGGUAUCCAACCAGAAAGUCACGGCUAACUACGUGCCAGCAGCCGCGGUAAUACGUAGGUGGCAAGCGUUAUCCGGAUUUAUUGGGCGUAAAGCGAGCGCAGGCGGUUGCUUAGGUCUGAUGUGAAAGCCUUCGGCUUAACCGAAGAAGUGCAUCGGAAACCGGGCGACUUGAGUGCAGAAGAGGACAGUGGAACUCCAUGUGUAGCGGUGGAAUGCGUAGAUAUAUGGAAGAACACCAGUGGCGAAGGCGGCUGUCUGGUCUGCAACUGACGCUGAGGCUCGAAAGCAUGGGUAGCGAACAGGAUUAGAUACCCUGGUAGUCCAUGCCGUAAACAAUGAGUGCUAGGUGUUGGAGGGUUUCCGCCCUUCA